AACUCUUCAUCAACAAUCAACAUGUUUUUAGUUGUUCCUCUCUCUGUCUACUUAUUGAUAAUUCUUCUCUAGUGACCAUUUUCUUAUUUGAGAACCACAAAAUUAUGGUGAGAGUGAAUCUUUGGGAUGCUAGAAGGUGGCAGCGAAAGUUUGAGUCUAAGCAGGUUUGCUUCUGAUCUUUCUUUAGUUACAUGUUUGCUUCUGAUCCUUCCGUGUUCUUUCAGAUGGUGAGAGUGAAUCUUGAGAUUCAAAAGAAGAGGAACACAUAAGUAAAGACAAUCGUGAAGGUUGCAUAGUAUAUAUUCUAAUAUAUUUUAGAAGAUACAUGUAAUGUUAGCAGAUAACAAUAUUCUUAUAAUGUAUAUGUCAACAAAGUAAACUUCAAGAUAAAUUAAUUUCAAUGGUGUAAUGGUAUUUAAAAGGGUUAUUAACGAAUAAUAAAUAUCUUAG
RNAcentral lists this long non-coding RNA (450 nucleotides) under Brassica napus (rape). RNAcentral describes it as "long non-coding RNA (BNAP_LNC019810)". The record is from RNAcentral. Lineage: Eukaryota; Viridiplantae; Streptophyta; Magnoliopsida; Brassicales; Brassicaceae.